This 100-nucleotide non-coding RNA is filed under the name Chamaesiphon minutus PCC 6605. Lineage: Bacteria; Bacillati; Cyanobacteriota; Cyanophyceae; Gomontiellales; Chamaesiphonaceae. The record is from RNAcentral.
GAAAGCCGGAUGAGGUGAAAGUCUCACGUCCGGUUUGGGGAGAGGAAUGAAGAAACACAUAAACUGUAAGGUUUAGAGGUGCGCUUUGUUCCUACUCCAU